Molecule: long non-coding RNA, 528 nt
Organism: Harpia harpyja (harpy eagle)
Lineage: Eukaryota; Metazoa; Chordata; Aves; Accipitriformes; Accipitridae
Exons: 3
Source: RefSeq, a predicted model, not a curated record
GCUGGGAGGGGACAUAGCCAGGACAGCUGACCCAAACUGGCCAAAGGGGUAUUCCAUACCGUGUGACAUCAUGUCUAGUAUAUAAACUAGGAGGAGUUGGCUGGGGGGAUCACUGCUCAGGAACUAACUGGGCAUCGGUCAAAGCUGAGCACAUUGGUACCUGCCAGCUCAGGGAAUGUAGGCUGAGCAGCAUUUCCAGCAUGGAUCGCUCGGAAGCGCCCACCUCGGCCAAGCAAUCUCGGAAGCAAUGAGUCCUGCUGCUGCAGCCGUUUACCACCUCGCGGGCAAAGAGCUUGGCGAAAGAGAGCGUCUGAGAGUCAUGCAGAAACACCGUGCCACAUGGCUUCCCAGCGGCUUCCUGCACAGGGCAGCCUCGAUGGCGAGUCUUUAAAUAUGGACUGAACACCUCUGUACUGCAUGAGUGUUAAUGAGGCACAGCUUGGCACACUUGCAAAGCAAAUGUGGAAGACGUCUGCGAGCGUGGGAGCGAAAGAGAUGAGACUUGAGGGAGAGAAGUCUGUGGGACGG